UCCAAUUAUUUUCUCAGUAUCCAAACAAACACACAUACAAACAACAGUACUUUGCUUCCAUUCCACAACCAAAAAGGUAACUCAUUUAACCUUUCCUCGAACUUUCUUUCUCUCUUUCUCAACUUGAUUAUAUUUACUUUCUCUCUCAAAUUCUCUACUUUGUUUUUUUCCCCUUUGUAUGGGAAAAUCGAUUCCUUGGACGACCACCUCCAGAAUAUACCAAUUCUCUAAAACGACGUCGCAGAUCCCUGGAAUCGCCGACCAAAGUUUGAAGAAGAAGAUGGAGAAGGAGAAGGAGACGGUAAGUAGCUCCAACGACAGUCGUUUGCCGCUUUCUGAGGUCGUUUCAGAUUGUGUGAAACGGUGGUUUAAGGACACACUCAAGGAGGCCAAAACUGGAGAUAUUAACAUGCAAGUUUUGGUGGGUCAGAUGUAUUUUAGUGGCUAUGGCGUUCCCAGAGAUGCUCAGAGGGGAAGGAUUUGGAUUACAAGGGCAUCAAGAACUAGAUCCUUUUGGAAAGUUAGUGAUAAGCAUCCAGGUUAUAAUGCAAGUGAUUCAGAUUCAGAUGAACUCAAGGGUGAUUCUUAGUCUUAGAUAGACUAGAAUCAAAUCCUGUCAAUUGGGCUUUUUCAUGGUAUAGCGGUUGCAUGUUUUCGUGGAACUUUUACAAGAAGAAAUGCAGUGUCAUGUUUUCAUGGACCUUUUUUGCUUGUAAAGCAAUUUCCAUGCUUAUAUAUGUAUGCAUUAUAUUGCUUGUAUUGUUGUAACAUAAAUGUUGUUCGAAAAGUAAUCAAAACAUCAAGUAAAAAUACUGAAUGGAAAAACAUAUUCCUGAGCCUCUAGAUGGUGCUGAUGAAUCAUUACCAUUCUUAUAAGCGUGUUUAACGAAAGCACUCAAGAGACUAAGGUCGAGUUGUGAGGCUAUUAUGAUUUGCUCGGUCUCAUGAGCUUAUGGUGUUCCACCCCUCAUAGGAGAUUUGCUUGCUUGGCUAGGUUGGUUCACAUGGUCGAUUAUGUUUGUGUUUGUUACAAAGUUUUUGAUUUUUUUUUGGCCCCAUUUAGAUUAGAUGGCUUGUUUGGUGAUUUUAGACUAAAACAAAAUUUCACCUCAAAAUUUAUUCUCAUUGAUGUGAUAUCUUUUCUAACCACUCCACUUGAGUAUAGUCAUGUUAGAAAAUGUGUUAUAUUAUUAUGUGUAAAUUUUGAAAGUAAAUUUUGUGUCCUAAUCAUUUAUAAUGACAAUUGACAAUAUAUAUAACUGUUCAUUGGCUUUA
Molecule: RNA transcript, 1275 nt
Organism: Cannabis sativa
Lineage: Eukaryota; Viridiplantae; Streptophyta; Magnoliopsida; Rosales; Cannabaceae
Exons: 5
Source: RefSeq, a predicted model, not a curated record